This 247-nucleotide ribosomal RNA is filed under the name uncultured bacterium. RNAcentral's name for it is "partial 16S ribosomal RNA". It matches the Rfam family "Bacterial small subunit ribosomal RNA", at positions 523 to 769 of the family's 1533-position model. The record is from RNAcentral.
AUACGUAGGUGGCAAGCGUUGUCCGGAUUUACUGGGCGUAAAGGGAGCGUAGGUGGAUUUUUAAGUGGGAUGUGAAAUACCCGGGCUUAACCUGGGUGCUGCAUUCCAAACUGGAGAUCUAGAGUGCAGGAGGGGAAAGCGGAAUUCCUAGUGUAGCGGUGAAAUGCGUAGAGAUUAGGAAGAACACCAGUGGCGAAGGCGGCUUUCUGGACUGUAACUGACACUGAGGCUCGAAAGCGUGGGGAGC